This 376-nucleotide ribosomal RNA is filed under the name uncultured bacterium. RNAcentral's name for it is "bacterial SSU rRNA". It matches the Rfam family "Bacterial small subunit ribosomal RNA", at positions 524 to 898 of the family's 1533-position model. The record is from RNAcentral.
UACAGAACCCGCAAGCGUUAUCCGGAUUUAUUGGGCGUAAAGUGUUCGUAGGCGGUUCGGAAAGUCUGAUAUCAAAUAUCCGGGCUCAACCCGGGGCGAGUAUUGGAAACUUCCGAACUUGAAGGUGCUAGGGGCUAUCGGAACGCACGGUGUAGGGGUGAAAUCCGUUGAUAUCGUGCGGAACACCAAAAGCGAAGGCAGAUAGCUGGGGCAUUCUUGACGCUGAGGAACGAAAGCGUGGGGAGCAAAAAGGAUUAGAUACCCUUGUAGUCCACGCCCUAAACGAUGGACACUGGUUGCUUGAAGUGUCGACCCUUCAAGUGGCGAAGCUAACGCGUUAAGUGUCCCGCCUGGGAAGUACGGCCGCAAGGCUAAA